UACGUAGGGGGCAAACGUUGUCCGGAAUCAUUGGGCGUAAAGAGCGUGUAGGCGGCCCGGUAAGUCCGCUGUGAAAGUCCAGGGCUCAACCCUGGGAUGCCGGUGGAUACUGUCGGGCUCGAGUCCGGAAGAGGAGUGUGGAAUUCCUGGUGUAGCGGUGAAAUGCGCAGAUAUCAGGAGGAACACCAAUGGCGAAGGCAGCACUCUGGGACGUGACUGACGCUGAGACGCGAAAGCGUGGGGAGCAAACAGG
This 253-nucleotide ribosomal RNA is filed under the name uncultured bacterium. Its description in RNAcentral is "partial 16S ribosomal RNA". It matches the Rfam family "Bacterial small subunit ribosomal RNA", at positions 524 to 776 of the family's 1533-position model. The record is from RNAcentral.